GUCUGGAGCAAAACUGCUGAGGUUUGAGGCCCCGUUUUGCUGCUCACUAGCUACAUGAUCUUGGGCAAGUUAUUUAAGCUCUCUGAGCUUCAGUUUCUUCCUCUGCAGAAUGGGGAUGAAAGUGGACUACUACCUCAUGGCAUGUUUUGAGGAUGAAAUGAGCUAAUAAACACAGUCUUCAGCCCUACAUUAGGAUGGCCUAAGGAAAACAAGAAGACUGAAUGAUAUUCCCUGGCAACCUGGCGGUUCCCCGCUCCAGGGAGGUCACCCUCUUGAUGCUGAAUUUAGCACGGACACCUGAUGGGCACAGUGCACUGCAGCCCAGAGCUCCUGAGCUCAAGCCAUCCUCCUGCCUCAGCCUCCAAGUAGCCAGGACCACAGGCACGCACCCUGAGGAGGAAGAAAUACCAGGUGCGCAUGCUCCAAGAAAAAGCCAUCUGAGGACGCGGCAAGAAGGCCGCCAUCUACAAGCCAAGGAGAGGGGCCUCAGGAGAAAUCGAACCUGUCACACCUUGAUCUUGGACUUCCAGCCUUCAGAACUGUGAGAAAGUAAAUUUCUGUGUUCAAGCUACCAGGUCUGUGGGAUUUUUUAUGGCAGCCCUAGCAGACUAAGACAGGCAUCAAUGGUUCCAAUGUUUUCAUUUUUUUUCCGGUAAGCAGACCGAAGCCCAGAGAGAUGAAGCAAUUUGCCCAAAGUCACAUACCAAGUUAACUGAAGAGUUGGGGUUAGAAUCCAGCUCUUGUGACUUCUCUCUUUUCAGUUUCCCUUCCCACUCCCCCCACUGAAAAGCUUUUGAGUGACUCUUUUAGAAAUCCCGGUUCUGUAUAUGAAGCAGAAUUGAGCACAGCUGCUCUAAUGAAGGGCUCAGAGCUCCCAGGCUUUUCUCUCUCCCCUGCCCCUUUUCCCUGUUGCACCUCUGCAGUGUCCUGAGGGUUGAUGGAAUCUAGUUUGAAAGCUAUUGCUCUACCUCACUGCCUCCUGAAUGCAAUGUCACAAAUUUUCCCAACUUGCCAUUUCUCUCACACUGACAUAAAGCAUUAGAAACCUGUUGUGAAGUAGGAAAGCUAACUGGGUCAGUAGCUGAUAAGAUAAUCUGGCCUAGGGGAUAGAUGAUUAGGAUUUCAGAGAAGGAAAGGUCACCCAAUUGAUUUGACUCUGUCCUGGGGCGAUGAUAUGGUGAAGAUUUCUACAGAUGCAGCAGAAACAUCCGGAAACCAGGUGUGUCCCAGCUCUGGUCUGGGAACCAUUUCAUAAAUUGGCAAAUAUCCAGGAUAUACACAUGGCUAAUUCUGAGGUGUACUGAAGUUUCAAUAAAGCUACUUUGGUAAUGACUAGGAGAAGAAAAUCCUAUGGCUGGACUUCAUUAAUGUUGUAUGGCCAAGGACAGUGUUUCUCUAAUUAUGGCCUGUGAACCUCCCUGGAUCUCGAUCACCUGCAUAUUUGGGAAUAUGCAGGUUCCAGGGUCCCACCUGAAACUACAGAAUCAGUAUUGAGAUCCCAGGUGAUUCUCAUGUACACUCAAGUGUAAGAUUAUUAGCACCUGGACUUUGGAAGCAGCCAGAUAAAAGUUUGGAUCCUGGGUUGGCUACUUCCUAGAUGUGGCCAAGUCAUUUUACUUGCCAUGCUUUUGCUUUUCUUGUCUGUAAAGUGGACAUGAUACCUAUUUUACAGGGUGGUUUUGAGGAAUAAGGUCAGCAUUAAACAUUUAUCCUCUUUAGGGAGACAGAGAGAGGAGAUGAAAUAGAGUAGAAUUGAGAAAAGCAGUUUCUUAGACCUCCCUGUGAAGUUUUUCUUAUUUCAACAAAUAAUAAAAUAAAAAAUUCAUACACUUAAAAAAAAAAAAAAAAAAAAAAAAAAAAAAAAAAAAAAAAAAAAAAAAAAAAAAAAAAAAAAAAAAAAAAAAAAAAAAA
Molecule: long non-coding RNA, 1911 nt
Filed under: Homo sapiens (human)
Lineage: Eukaryota; Metazoa; Chordata; Mammalia; Primates; Hominidae
Description: LHFPL3 antisense RNA 2 (LHFPL3-AS2)
Source: RNAcentral